CUUUGGUGUCCAUCAAUAGUAGGAUAUGGCCAUUAGUUUGAUCAAUGACCAAUGCCACUCCACCCCUCUCUUUCCCACAGCCUGGUUCUGGGGAUGAAGCCUUUUGUGAUAGACUUUGGCUUGUCCUGCCUACCUCAGUCUCCUCUCACUCCUCUGCCUUCCAAGUCCUGUUCUGCUUUUCUCUGAUAUUGUAUAACCUUAACCAAUAA
RNAcentral lists this long non-coding RNA (209 nucleotides) under Monodelphis domestica (gray short-tailed opossum). Its description in RNAcentral is "lncRNA (ENSMODG00000036049.2)". Lineage: Eukaryota; Metazoa; Chordata; Mammalia; Didelphimorphia; Didelphidae. The record is from RNAcentral.